Colossoma macropomum (tambaqui) is the source of this 671-nucleotide long non-coding RNA. RefSeq lists it as uncharacterized. The record is from RefSeq and is a predicted model, not a curated record. Lineage: Eukaryota; Metazoa; Chordata; Actinopteri; Characiformes; Serrasalmidae. The transcript has 3 exons.
GCGUUGCUUAGUAGGGAGGAACCACGUGGAGCUCAGUGAGCUAAGAUGUAUACUAGAUAUGAAGUUAUUUACAGCGUUUUACCUGCUUAUGGCUAAGGAUAGGUAGCGAUGUGAGGCCAGUGUGGAGAAUGGCCUGCUGGGGCCAUCUUAGUCUUGAUGCUGGGAGCAUGGCCUGUUGCUGACACCAUGAGGACAGCGGAUGUGCUUGAACAGGCCAUGUUUCACAGGUGGCUGACUAAGGGGAUAUAAACAGCUUGACUAAUGAGUCAUUUCAUGUAAUGAAUGUGUGCUGCGUUGCAGAAAGCUCAGUAGAUCACUUUCAAAAUGUUCUUUAUCUGCUGUGAUUACCGAAAUACAGUGCACAGAAGGGAGUCCUGUUAUAUACAGGUUUCUAUUCAGAAUGCAUAGCUGAAAAAGCACGAAGCACACUUCUUUGUAUCACCUGUUUCUUGUUUAACAGUGGUGUCAGUACAAGCAUACUUUAUGUAAAGGUGUCCAUACCUGUGACCUUCAAAGGUCCUACAAAGAUCAGGGACACUCUUCUGUCCCUUUCUAAGUGUGUCUGCCAGUGCAGUCACACUUCUUCACAGUUAAGAGUUCUGUGACUUUUGCUCAGUGUCUAAGUUCACUUGUUUGCUUCUGAUUUGUCUUGAUUUGAAUAAAGUAAUCUU